CUCGCACACCAUGUGUCCCUCCGCGCGCAGCACGGGGGACUUUUCGGUGGGGAUUUUGGGCGCCGACCAGACGCGGCAUUUUCGGAAAAUAGCGCCCUGUGCAGCUGAAGCGCUUUGUGUGUAGCGGGGCCGCGUCAGCCCGGCCGGGUACGAGGCGCCUCGGGUCCCCGCACCACCUCCUGCUGCCUUCCCGUCGCCGCUCCCGAAGCUUUUCCAGGUCAGUGCGGGUCUGUGUAGGGCCCUGUUACCACCGGAUGUGGAAGUUGAUCUCUUCGCUGGUAAAAAAUAAUUCCACUUCCCCCGGAACCCAGAUCAUCCCCGCGAUUUCCUGUUUAUUGCAUUAAGGCGCCGGGUUUCCGGGGCUCCUGGCCCCGCUUAUUCCGCGGGGGUCGGCGGGGUCGGCCUGGGCGCCCGCGCCGCCGCUGCGCUUUGUCCGCUGGGCACACUGCUUCUGGGAGGGGCGGGCAGACAUGGUGGCGGCCGCCGCCCCCUCCUCGGCCCUAGCAUGCCGCGGCCGCCUCGCGGCUACCCGGCUUGCCGGUCCCGAGCGGCAGCCCCGGGGUGGCGAUGGGGUCGCGCCGAGGCAGCGGAGGUUCUGCGGGCGACUGGAGGUUGGCAGUGGGCGGGAGAAAGAGGAAGGCAGGCGCGGCUGGGCCUCGGCCUCUGGCGCCGCGGUACCCUUUGUCUCGGCAGCCUGACGGCCCCGCCGGGCUCUCCGGAGAGGGGAACGGGCGGCGAGGGUGGCGGGUCCUGGGCGCCCUGUGCUGCGGGGCCGAGAGGCGCUCGGGUCGCGGCGGGAUCGGCCGGACCAGACAGGGUUAAUGGAAGAGCCUGGCCAGUCCCGCGCGGGGCCCCCGCAGCGACAGCCUUGGCCGCGGGGACUGGAGUCCUGAGGGGGAGAAGCCUGCCGUUCUGAAGGCUCGGGACUUCUGCCCCAAAGACUUCGCCGCCGAGAACUGCGGGUGCACUGCCUCAGGGAAGAAGUUGAGAAUUUUGCCAGGUCAUCUCUGCCAGGGCACAGUUCAUCACUGUGUGUUUAGUGUGUUUCGGUGAAGCUCUCCAAGUGUGUUGAAUCAGCGUGCCUAGCCUCAAGGGUGCAUCGUGAAAACUGAAACCAAAGGAAUGAUACAGGCCUGCUUUGUGUGUGUCUUCCCACUUUAAGCUUGUUUUCAGUACAAAUACUCUUGCUUUAAACCUGAUUGGACUGUGGCGAGCGGACAUCUGUUCAAAGGAGGGGCCGAGACCACAGUACUUCUGAAGGGGGCUUGAUAAUGUGGAAACAUUUUAAGUUUUCUCUCCGGACUGUUUUGCUCUCUCAAUUCAGGCAAGUUACUGAAGUACGUUUUUUAUCUAGAAAAAGGUUUGAUGUAGUCUGUAAAUGGUCCUUGUAAAGUACAUUGCCAUCUCAGAAUUAAAAGAUCCACUCUCAUUUAUUAUGCAGAA
This 1443-nucleotide long non-coding RNA is filed under the name Homo sapiens (human). RNAcentral describes it as "non-protein coding GABPB1-IT1:7". Lineage: Eukaryota; Metazoa; Chordata; Mammalia; Primates; Hominidae. The record is from RNAcentral.